CGGAGGGAUCAUUAAAGAGUUCUAUAACUCCCAAACCCAUGUGAACAUACCUAACGUUGCCUCGGCAGGUCGCACCUACCUUGUAGCACCCUACCCUGUAGGGCCUACCCGGGAGGUGCGGGUAAGCCUGCCGGCGGCCCACCAAACUCUGUUUGAUAUUGAAUUCUGAACCUAUAACUAAAUAAGUUAAAACUUUCAACAACGGAUCUCUUGGUUCUGGCAUCGAUGAAGAACGCAGCGAAAUGCGAUAAGUAAUGUGAAUUGCAGAAUUCAGUGAAUCAUCGAAUCUUUGAACGCAUAUUGCGCCCAUUAGUAUUCUAGUGGGCAGGACCGUUCGAGCGUCAUUUCAACCCUUAAGCCUUCGUUGCUUAGUGUUGGGAGCCUACGGCAACGUAGCUCCUCAAAGUUAGUGGCGGAGUUGGUUCACACUCUAGACGUAGUAAUUUUUUAUCUCGCCUAUUAGUUGGACUAAUCCCCUGCCGUAAAACCCCCAAUUUAUCAAGGUUGACCUCGAAUCGGUUCAGACAAACUCGCUAAAUUGAAGCAUCUUAGUCAGCGAAGGAAAAGAAACCAACAGGGAUUGCCCUAGUAACGGCGAGUGAAGCGGCAACAGCUCAAAUUUGAAAUCUGGCCCUC
Molecule: ribosomal RNA, 636 nt
Filed under: fungal endophyte
Lineage: Eukaryota; Fungi
Description: eukaryotic LSU rRNA
Rfam family: 5.8S ribosomal RNA (bases 191-344)
Source: RNAcentral